Molecule: unclassified non-coding RNA, 335 nt
Filed under: soil metagenome
Description: partial contains 5.8S ribosomal RNA, internal transcribed spacer 2, and large subunit ribosomal RNA
Rfam family: 5.8S ribosomal RNA (bases 1-120)
Source: RNAcentral
GAUGAAGAACGCAGCGAAAUGCGAUAAGUAAUGUGAAUUGCAGAAUUCAGUGAAUCAUCGAAUCUUUGAACGCGCAUUGCGCCCGCCAGUAUUCUGGCGGGCAUGCCUGUUCGAGCGUCAUUUCAACCAUCAAGCCCCCGGCUUGUGUUGGGGACCUGCGGCUGCCGCAGGCCCUGAAAACCAGUGGCGGGCUCGCUAGUCACUCCGAGCGUAGUAAUACAUCUCGCUCAGGGCGUGCUGCGGGUUCCGGCCGUUAAAAAGCCUUAUUUACCCAAGGUUGACCUCGGAUCAGGUAGGAAGACCCGCUGAACUUAAGCAUAUCAAUAAGCGGAGGA